GAUGAACGCUGGCGGCGUGCUUAACACAUGCGAGUCGAACGAAGCACUUUAUUUGAUUUCCUUCUGGCCUUAUUAUUUUGUGACUGAGUGGCGGACGGGUGAGUAACGCGUGGGUCACCUGCCUUUUACAGGGGGAUAACAGUUUGAAACGGCUGCUAAUACCCCAUAAGCGCACAGCAUCGCAUGAUGCAUUGUGAAAAACUCCGGUUGUAUAAGAUGGACCCUCGUUGGUUUAGCUAGUUGGUGAUGUAACGGCCCACCAAGGCGACGAUCCAUAGACGGGAUGAGAGAGGGACCCGAGACACCGACACUGGGAAACGGUCGAAACUCUUACGGGAGGGAGCAAAGGGGAAUAUUGCAAAAUGGCGGAAAGGAUGAUGGAGCGACGAUGGGAGAGCGAAGAAGUAAGUCGGUAUGUAAAGCUCUAUCAGCAGGGAAGAUAAUGACGGUACCUGAUCAAGAAGCAACGGCUAAAUACGUG
Molecule: ribosomal RNA, 481 nt
Filed under: uncultured bacterium
Lineage: Bacteria
Description: partial 16S ribosomal RNA
Rfam family: Bacterial small subunit ribosomal RNA
Source: RNAcentral